This 253-nucleotide ribosomal RNA is filed under the name uncultured bacterium. Its description in RNAcentral is "partial 16S ribosomal RNA". It matches the Rfam family "Bacterial small subunit ribosomal RNA", at positions 524 to 776 of the family's 1533-position model. The record is from RNAcentral.
UACGGAGGGUGCGAGCGUUAAUCGGAAUUACUGGGCGUAAAGCGCGCGUAGGCGGUUUGAUAAGUCGGAUGUGAAAGCCCCGGGCUUAACCUGGGAAUUGCAUUCGAUACUGUCAGGCUCGAGUCUAGGAGAGGGAAGCGGAAUUCCGGGUGUAGCGGUGAAAUGCGUAGAUAUCCGGAGGAACAUCAGUGGCGAAGGCGGCCCCCUGGUUGGAUACUGACGCUGAUACGCGAAAGCGUGGGGAGCAAACAGG